Molecule: ribosomal RNA, 589 nt
Filed under: Hepatozoon canis
Lineage: Eukaryota; Apicomplexa; Hepatozoidae
Description: SSU rRNA
Rfam family: Eukaryotic small subunit ribosomal RNA
Source: RNAcentral
CAUGCUUUUACAGUAUGAAAAUUGGUGAUUUAUAAUAACUUAGCAAAUCGCAAAGUGAAAACAGGCGAUAAAUCAUUCAAGUUUCUGACCUAUCAGCUUUCGACGGUAUGGUAUUGGCUUACCGUGGCAGUGACGGUUAACGGGGGAUUAGGGUUCGAUUCCGGAGAGGGAGCCUGAGAAACGGCUACCACAUCUAAGGAAGGCAGCAGGCGCGCAAAUUACCCAAUUCUAACAGUUUGAGAGAGGUAGUAACAAGAAAUAACAAUACAAGGCAGUUAAAAUGCUUUGUAAUUGGAAUGAUAGAAAUUUAAACCCUUUUUAAAGUAUCAAUUGGAGGGCAAGUCUGGUGCCAGCAGCCGCGGUAAUUCCAGCUCCAAUAGCGUAUAUUAAAAUUGUUGCAGUUAAAAAGCUCGUAGUUGAAGUUCUGCUAAAAGUAACCGGUCUGCUUUGAAUAAAAGUGGUAUCUUGGUAUGUAUUUAGCAAUGAUGUCCUUUGAAGUGUUUUUUACUUUAUUGUAAUAAAGCAUAUUCAGGACUUUUACUUUGAGAAAAUUAGAGUGUUUCUAGCAGGCCAACGCUUUAAAUACUGC